UAGUCCACACCGUAAACGCUGUCUACUAGCUGUGUGUGAAUUUAAUUCGUGCGUAGCGAAGCUAACGCGCUAAGUAGACCGCCUGGGGAGUACGGCCGCAAGGUUAAAACUCAAAUGAAUUGACGGGGGCCCGCACAAGCGGUGGAGCACGUGGUUUAAUUCGAUGCAACGCGAAGAACCUUACCUACUCUUGACAUAUCCAGAAUUUUCAGAGAUGAAUUAGUGCCUUCGGGAGCUGGAAUACAGGUGCUGCAUGGCUGUCGUCAGCUCGUGUCGUGAGAUGUUGGGUUAAGUCCCGCAACGAGCGCAACCCUUGUCCUUAGUUGCCAGCAUUAAGUUGGGCACUUUAAGGAGACUGCCGGUGACAAACCGGGAGGAAGGUGGGGACGACGUCAAGUCAUCAUGGGCCCUUACGAGUAGGGGCUACACACGUGCUACAAUGGGCGAGUACAGA
Molecule: ribosomal RNA, 454 nt
Filed under: uncultured bacterium
Lineage: Bacteria
Description: bacterial SSU rRNA
Rfam family: Bacterial small subunit ribosomal RNA
Source: RNAcentral